CUCUAAGCGAUCGGCGUGAGUAACGGGCAGAACAAUUGCAUUCUCUUCCACUAGAGGGCAGUACAACUACCUGCUCCAAUUAAAUGGGUUCCCAAGUGCCAGUAAAACAAAAGACGAAGAAGAAAUUACAGCAUGACUAUUAUGACCGCAGGGUAAUAGCAAUAGAUAAAUAUUUGAAAAGAGAAAGUAGUCAGUCUGACCUGGGUGUCCUGGAGAAAGUUCUGACCCAGACGACGGCCCAGCAUGAGUAGUGGUCAGAAGAAGGCAAAAAAGAAAUUAAACUUCCCCUCCCCCAAAACAUGAAGCUGCAAAUGAGUGUUGCAUCUCAAACUGGCCGCUAUGAGAAACAGACACAGGACCACAACCCAAAGCGCAGCUCCAAACUAUGCAAGAGCCAUUAAGAGAACAAACCAUCAGCUGGUAUUCUGUCUAUAAUGGAACAGCCGGCAUAGUCACCAGAUCUCAAAUGUACUGAGCUGUUAUGGAAACAGCUUGAAAGCACUUUGGCAAGAAUGUGAUGACAUCAUUCCCGAUUCCUCAACGAACCGAUAACAGGAAUACCAAAAGUUCUGCAGUGAUUGUAGAACACGGACGAGUCUCUGACAUCUAAUUUAUGU
Molecule: long non-coding RNA, 617 nt
Organism: Oreochromis niloticus (Nile tilapia)
Lineage: Eukaryota; Metazoa; Chordata; Actinopteri; Cichliformes; Cichlidae
Exons: 3
Source: RefSeq, a predicted model, not a curated record